This 468-nucleotide ribosomal RNA is filed under the name uncultured bacterium. Its description in RNAcentral is "partial 16S ribosomal RNA". It matches the Rfam family "Bacterial small subunit ribosomal RNA", at positions 28 to 507 of the family's 1533-position model. The record is from RNAcentral.
GACGAACGCUGGCGGCGUGCUUAACACAUGCAAGUCGAACGGAAAGGCCCUGCUUUUGUGGGGUGCUCGAGUGGCGAACGGGUGAGUAACACGUGAGUAACCUGCCCUUGACUUUGGGAUAACUUCUGGAAACUGGGGCUAAUACCGGAUAGGAGCUCCUGCUGCAUGGUGGGGGUUGGAAAGUUUCGGCGGUUGGGGAUGGACUCGCGGCUUAUCAGCUUGUUGGUGGGGUAGUGGCUUACCAAGGCUUUGACGGGUAGCCGGCCUGAGAGGGUGACCGGCCACAUGGGGACUGAGAUACGGCCCAGACUCCUACGGGAGGAAGCAGUGGGGAAUAUUGCACAAUGGGAGGAAGCAUGAUGCAGCAACGCAGCGAGCGGGAUGACGGCCUUCGGGUUGUAAACAGCUUUCGCCUGUGACGAAGAGUGAGUGACGGUAAUGGGUAAAGAAGCACCGGCUAACUACGUG